RNAcentral lists this ribosomal RNA (466 nucleotides) under uncultured bacterium. RNAcentral describes it as "partial 16S ribosomal RNA". It matches the Rfam family "Bacterial small subunit ribosomal RNA", at positions 28 to 507 of the family's 1533-position model. The record is from RNAcentral.
GACGAACGCUGGCGGCGUGCUUAACACAUGCCAGUCGAACGGAAAGGCCCUGCUUGCAGGGUACUCGAGUGGCGAACGGGUGAGUAACACGUGGGUGAUCUGCCCUGCUCUUCGGGAUAAGCUUGGGAAACUGGGUCUAAUACCGGAUAGGAGCCAUCUUUAGUGUGGUGGUUGGAAAGUUUUUUCGGUGUAGGAUGAGCUCGCGGCCUAUCAGCUUGUUGGUGGGGUAAUGGCCUACCAAGGCGGCGACGGGUAGCCGGCCUGAGAGGGUGUACGGCCACAUUGGGACUGGGAUACGGCCCAGACUCCUACGGGAGGCAGCAGUGGGGAAUAUUGCACAAUGGGCGCAAGCCUGAUGCAGCGACGCCGCGUGGGGGAUGAAGGCCUUCGGGUUGUAAACUCCUUUCGCUAGGGACGAAGCUUUGUUGUGACGGUACCUAGAUAAGAAGCACCGGCUAACUACGUG